This is a long non-coding RNA of Caretta caretta (loggerhead turtle), 333 nucleotides long. RefSeq lists it as uncharacterized. The record is from RefSeq and is a predicted model, not a curated record. NCBI's taxonomy places the organism in Eukaryota, Metazoa, Chordata, Testudines, Cheloniidae.
GUACACAAAAAGACCAAUGCAUCCGGAGAUGACAAAGGGCUUGUCAAACAUGUGGCUGGAAGCCUCUGCUCAUGUAGGACCUGACACAAGCCAGUGGAUGGUGUAACUCUACAGAAGGAAAGACACCUGCUGGCUUUUAUUGAUGUGAAAAAUGGUGGGGACGCUGAUCUCGGCAUGUGAGGUGCUACCCAGGCAUCACCACAAAGAGAUGAGAAUAAAAAUGUAAUAGAUCCAUCCCUCUCAGGAACAGAAACCACACAUGGAUGGACGCAAAAAUUGCUGAAACAAAUGGUUAGACUUCCAUCCAGUCACUGAAUUGAAGAGGACAGAGCA